GAUGAACGCUGGCGGCGUGCUUAACACAUGCAAGUCGAACGAUGAAGCUCAGCUUGCUGGGUGGAUUAGUGGCGAACGGGUGAGUAACACGUGAGUAACCUGCCCUUAACUCUGGGAUAAGCCUGGGAAACUAGGUCUAAUACCGGAUAGGAGCGCCUACCGCAUGGUGGGUGUUGGAAAGAUUUAUCGGUUUUGGAUGGACUCGCGGCCUAUCAGCUUGUUGGUGAGGUAAUGGCUCACCAAGGCGACGACGGGUAGCCGGCCUGAGAGGGUGACCGGCCACACGGGGACUGAGACACGGCCCAGACUCCUACGGGAGGCAGCAGUGGGGAAUAUUGCACAAUGGGCGAAAGCCUGAUGCAGCGACGCCGCGUGAGGGAUGACGGCCUUCGGGUUGUAAACCUCUUUCAGUAGGGAAGAAGCGAAAGUGACGGUACCUGCAGAAGAAGCACCGGCUAACUACGUG
RNAcentral lists this ribosomal RNA (466 nucleotides) under uncultured bacterium. RNAcentral's name for it is "partial 16S ribosomal RNA". It matches the Rfam family "Bacterial small subunit ribosomal RNA", at positions 28 to 507 of the family's 1533-position model. The record is from RNAcentral.